UAAGGAAUAUUGGUCAAUGGACGCAAGUCUGAACCAGCCAUGCCGCGUGGAGGAUUAAGGCCCUCUGGGUUGUAAACUCCUUUUAUCUGGGAAGAAAUGUACUUUUUCUUGAGUACUUGACGGUACCAGAGGAAUAAGCACCGGCUAACUCCGUGCCAGCAGCCGCGGUAAUACGGAGGGUGCAAGCGUUAUCCGGAUUCACUGGGUUUAAAGGGUGCGUAGGUGGGCAGGUAAGUCAGUGGUGAAAUCUCCGGGCUUAACUCGGAAACUGCCGUUGAUACUAUUUGUCUUGAAUAUUGUGGAGGUAAGCGGAAUAUGUCAUGUAGCGGUGAAAUGCUUAGAUAUGACAUAGAACACCAAUUGCGAAGGCAGCUUACUACACAAUCAUUGACGCUGAGGCACGAAAGCGUGGGGAUCAAACA
RNAcentral lists this ribosomal RNA (422 nucleotides) under uncultured bacterium. Its description in RNAcentral is "bacterial SSU rRNA". It matches the Rfam family "Bacterial small subunit ribosomal RNA", at positions 355 to 774 of the family's 1533-position model. The record is from RNAcentral.